CCAGCAGCCGCGGUAAUACGUAGGGUGCAAGCGUUAAUCGGAAUUACUGGGCGUAAAGCGUGCGCAGGCGGUUAUAUAAGACAGAUGUGAAAUCCCCGGGCUCAACCUGGGAACUGCAUUUGUGACUGUAUAGCUAGAGUACGGCAGAGGGGGAUGGAAUUCCGCGUGUAGCAGUGAAAUGCGUAGAUAUGCGGAGGAACACCGAUGGCGAAGGCAAUCCCCUGGGCCUGUACUGACGCUCAUGCACGAAAGCGUGGGGAGCAAACAGGAUUAGAUACCCCCGUAGUCCCUGUCUCUUAUA
RNAcentral lists this ribosomal RNA (301 nucleotides) under uncultured bacterium. RNAcentral's name for it is "partial 16S ribosomal RNA". It matches the Rfam family "Bacterial small subunit ribosomal RNA", at positions 508 to 808 of the family's 1533-position model. The record is from RNAcentral.